CCCUACGGGGCGCAGCAGGCGCGAAAUCUUUACAAUGCGGGAAACCGCGAUAAGGGGACACCGAGUGCCAGCAUUUAUGUUGGCUGUCCACAUGUGUAAACGGCAUGUGUUAGCAAGGGCCGGGCAAGACCGGUGCCAGCCGCCGCGGUAACACCGGCGGCCCGAGUGGUAAUCACUUUUAUUGGGUCUAAAGGGUCCGUAGCCGGUUUGAUCAGUUCUUCGGGAAAUCUGACAGCUCAACUGUUAGGCUUCCGGGGAAUACU
This 263-nucleotide ribosomal RNA is filed under the name uncultured methanogenic archaeon. Its description in RNAcentral is "partial 16S ribosomal RNA". It matches the Rfam family "Archaeal small subunit ribosomal RNA", at positions 321 to 585 of the family's 1478-position model. Lineage: Archaea; Methanobacteriati; Methanobacteriota. The record is from RNAcentral.